GUUCCAACAUCAAUCCACAUUCCUGGUGGUGGUCAUUUUGGGGCCACGAUUAACUCAUUCUGGAGCUACAAUCAUCCCACGUGGCCCCAUGAUGUUUCUUGGUACUUAAGACAGUUCGAUCUGUUGCCACGCUACUCAGAAAUUGUGAUUCCCUAAUGCGGCGCAGGCUUAUGAAAAUUUAGGAGCAGUUCUCACAGAAAAGCUGACGUAGCUGGUCUUCUGGUCUAGAGCGGUGUGUGCUCCUGGCGUGACUGGUGUGAUUUGGAAAAUUGCUGCUUAAUGGCGAGGUGCAUUGUGCAUUGUAUCGUCCGUUGGUGGUUGAGCGAAUCCAACUUAAAAGUGAAGAGAGUUUUGACACCUGACCACGUACAACUGACCAUAGAGAGGAGGCAUGAUCAGUUAGCAGGCGCCUGGUAAUCAAGCACUAAUCUUAUCAGAGGCUACCGGACACUUUUGGUUCUCACUGUACUGUGAUGACCAAACGUUAGCUCUCAUUGUCAGUUCAAGACGGAAGCGAGCAUGAAUUUCCUCAUCUCAGUAAGUUCGAGAAGCGGCAGAUCGCUUUUGAUAAUCAGUUGUGUUGACCAAACUACACUUCCCUUUUAAGUACUCACAGACUCUGAGUAAGAGGACAAGGAAUUUAAAUAGGACAAGCACGAGUCGUUUUAAUGAACAUUUUUAUUCUUGUG
Long non-coding RNA from Cloeon dipterum, 689 nucleotides. RefSeq lists it as uncharacterized. The record is from RefSeq and is a predicted model, not a curated record. The transcript has 3 exons. Lineage: Eukaryota; Metazoa; Arthropoda; Insecta; Ephemeroptera; Baetidae.